CAGUAGCCGCGGGAAUACAGAGGGUGCGAGCGUUAAUCGGAUUUACUGGGCGUAAAGCGUGCGUAGGCGGCUAAUUGAGUCGGAUGUGAAAUCCCUGAGCUUAACUUAGGAAUUGCAUUCGAUACUGGGAAGCUAGAGUAUGGGAGAGGAUGGUAGAAUUCCAGGUGUAGCGGUGAAAUGCGUAGAGAUCUGGAGGAAUACCGAUGGCGAAGGCAGCCAUCUGGCCUAAUACUGACGCUGAGGUACGAAAGCAUGGGGAGCAAACAGGAUUAGAUACCCGGGUAGUCCCUGUCUCUUAUAC
Molecule: ribosomal RNA, 301 nt
Filed under: uncultured bacterium
Lineage: Bacteria
Description: partial 16S ribosomal RNA
Rfam family: Bacterial small subunit ribosomal RNA
Source: RNAcentral